GUGCUCGCUUCAGCAGCACAUAUACUAAAAAAAUUGGAACCAUGUAAAGAAGAUUAGCAUGGCCCCUGCACAAGGAUGACAUGCAAAUUCGUGAAGUGUUCCAUAUUUUU
Eubalaena glacialis (North Atlantic right whale) is the source of this 110-nucleotide small nuclear RNA. The record is from RefSeq and is a predicted model, not a curated record. Lineage: Eukaryota; Metazoa; Chordata; Mammalia; Artiodactyla; Balaenidae.